RNAcentral lists this ribosomal RNA (400 nucleotides) under phytoplankton environmental sample. RNAcentral's name for it is "partial small subunit ribosomal RNA". It matches the Rfam family "Eukaryotic small subunit ribosomal RNA", at positions 587 to 937 of the family's 1831-position model. The record is from RNAcentral.
AGCUCCAUGAGUGUAUAUUAGAUUUGUUGUAGUUAAAAAGCUCGUAGUCGGAAAUAAGAAUAUUUCUUUGAUAAUAAAAGCGGAGAUUUUUAAAACAAAAUGUUUUUUAAUCUCACUUUUAAUUUCGAUAUUCUUUUAACGAAGAAUUAAGAGGGAUUUAUUCCUUUUAUUUCUUCUUUUUACUUUGAAAAAAUUAGAGUGUUCAAAGCAAGGCGAAUUAAUGCUUCGGCAAAGAUUCUUCUUUAAACCUUUUGAAUAGUCCAGCAUGGGAUAAUAAAACAAGACCUUUUUUUGAUUUUAUUGGUUUUUCAUUUCUUUUUAUUGGUAAUGAUUAAGAGGGACAGUUGGGGAUAUUUGUAUUUCACAGCUAGCGGUGAAAUGCUCGGAUUUGUGAAAGACA